This 254-nucleotide ribosomal RNA is filed under the name uncultured bacterium. RNAcentral describes it as "partial 16S ribosomal RNA". It matches the Rfam family "Bacterial small subunit ribosomal RNA", at positions 524 to 776 of the family's 1533-position model. The record is from RNAcentral.
UACGAAGGGGGCUAGCGUUGUUCGGAAUUACUGGGCGUAAAGCGCGCGCAGGCGGCCUUGCAAGUCAGUGGUGAAAUCCCAGAGCUUAACUCCGGAAUUGCCAUUGAAACUGCGAGGCUUCGAGUACGGGAGAGGUGAGUGGAAUUCCCAGUGUAGAGGUGAAAUUCGUAGAUAUUGGGAAGAACACCAGUGGCGAAGGCGGCCAUCUGGCCUGGAAUUGACGCUGAGGCGCUAAAGCGUGGGGAGCAAACAGG